Molecule: small RNA, 4022 nt
Filed under: Rattus norvegicus (Norway rat)
Lineage: Eukaryota; Metazoa; Chordata; Mammalia; Rodentia; Muridae
Description: uncharacterized LOC108348383
Source: RNAcentral
AAUGAUCCAAGCGGACCCCGUUGGAGAUGUGUGGCACCAGGAGCUCUGGAUCUGCUGUGUGCAGGUUUCUGGUGUGGAUCCUGCUGGGUCAGACACAGAAGCUGCGGGGAGAAUGCCGCACGGGCGUGUUAAGUGGGAGGGCACCUCUGAGCUCCCCUGCCCCGCCGCGGUGCGGUUGGACAGAGAACCACCUUUGCUUUUGGAGUUACUGAGAGAUGCUGCUGAAGCAGAGGACCUUUCCAUGAUCAGAUCUCUAAGCCAUUAACUCACCUUUUAAAAAGUAUCAUCUUUAAAUAUAGGCACCCCUCGGAAACAAGGCGAGAGGCAAAAAUGAGAAAAGAUGCUACCUAGUCUCUUAAAUUUCGUAGCUGGUUUCUUCCCUUUGGUAGAGGGAGAUCAGAGUAUCUCCAAUUUCAGUAAGCUGUGCUGUGGUACCUCCCUGAGGACCAGGUGGCACAGACAGGAAAGGGGCAAGAGCAGGUGCUAACAGAUAUACAUACGCUGCUGGUGUAAAGCGAUGAUGCUUCCCACACUACCCUAUGCUGAAGUGGAAACGAAAGGGGAGGUGUUUUUUGUUUUUGGUUUUUUGUUUUUCAUUUAAUUUUCUUACAAGUGCUGUGUAAGAAUGGGAGGUUGAGAAUGGCAUCUUCUUUAUCAUGCACCUCCCAGCACCGUCCGAGAAUGCAGACAGCAUCCUCCAGUCCUGGGAUGCACUCCAGAAAGAUGAAGUUUCCUAGGUAUCCAUUUUAUUCACAGGUUAAAAGCAAAAGGGAAUGCUACUCUGAGGAGGUGGCAGAGUGCAGAGAAUACAUUCAAACAGGAAGCCCUGGUGGAAUUGUGUGCGUACCACAGUUCUUUGCAGAGGCAUGAUUAAUAAAUUAUUUUUUGAUGGCAGUAAUGUGGCUGUCAUCUCUUUCAGCUCUAACGCUGAGACCUAAUCCAUAGGAAAAUCCUUGGUUUUUAAUUUCACAAAGCAUGCCCUAAUGCAGCAGUGCUGAAUGAUGCCUUCCAGAGUUGCAAUAGGGAAAAACAAAACAAGCAAACAAACAAAACCAAGCAACAACAAAACACUAAAUCCAUCCUCUUUUGGCUUUCUAAUGCAAGACAUAAGUAAAAACGUCUUAACCUUCUGUAGGCUGCCAGGCAUCUGCUCCUUGCCUUUCUCAUGCAGUAAAAUAAAAGCAUUUCCACAUUAUAGUAGGUGAUGCUGUUGACACUUGAGAAAGAUUUCUUUUCCACACUUAGUUCAUCAUCAUCCCUCUCAAAUCCCACCUCCAGGAUUCUGUGUUCUUUGCCUUCUUCCUCCCCCGAUGGAAUAAAUCCAAAACACAAAGAGAGGUGCUGCAACGCUUUUGUGGGGAAACGAGCUCUUCCUGAAACCACAAUUGGACAGUAUCCACCUUCUCUUCAUUGUUUCCCAAAGCCUUCUUCACUUCUCGUUCCAAAUUCCCUCUCCUUCCCCCCUUCUACUUCGAUUUAAAAGCUUGUUCCUGGUUCCCUAUUGAGUUCCUAUUUUCCUGGAACACCAGUCACUGUGUAUCAGCUGCUCUUACAAGGAAGAAUCUCCAGAGGGAGCAGGGCAGCAGGGCCCAUUGCUUUGAUGGUUUUCUAUUAAGGAUCAGGUGGUAACAGACCAUCCAGAGAAGUUUAGCAGAUGUAACUGUCCUCACUGUAAAACUGGAUUGUAAGGCUUUCUGGUAGCAGGUGGUAAGCGUGGGGAACCACUGUCCAUGAUGCAGUCAAGGGCUGGACCCUCUCGCUGCUAAAGAAUAGACAGGAUUCCUUUAACAGGCAUGACUUAGAAGCUCCAAGCUGUCUAUCGGUGAUUUUCUAGUUUUGGCUAAUUGAGGAAGAAAGAUCACUCAAACUGUAGUCCACGGGGUGAUGUCUAGUUCUGAAAAAAAUGGAAAAAGAUAGCUGAGCAUGUGGUUGCAAUGUGAGUAGCUGCUGCCAACAUUCUGCCACCAGACCUACCUUCCCAUAGGAACUGUGUUCCCAGGCUGUGGGCAAGAAACAAGCCUUCCUUCCUGAAGUUACUUUAGCCAGCUAUUUCAUCUCAGCAGUGAGACCUGUAACUAUGACACUUACCUGUCACAUCACCUGUUUCUUUGGGCUCCGCAUUAACUCAAAGUAUAAGAUCAACCCAGAAGGGCAACAGAAAAUCUGGAGAGCACUGUCUUCACAACAUCCAGGAUUCAAGACCUCUUCCACUGCAACAUACCAUGAAGAAAAUGAACAAUAACUAAGUGAGUGAUCCAGAACAAAUGGAGAAAGGAGAGGAAUUCCAGUGUAACCAUAUCCUAGUUGCAAAGGAUUAUAAUAUUAUCCAAAGUCUCAAGUAUGUGGAAUGUCAGGUGAUAAACAUAAGGUGAAAUUACACCCCCAAAUCUUUAACACCUAUGAAAAUAGUGAGAGAACAUAAGAAUUUCAUAGCAACUGGAGAAAUAAGGAAAACUAAGCAGUAUAUCCAUUCUAUUCCUGUUGGCUUAGCAAAGUUGGCAUGCUCUAGAAAGACUUUUUCACUAACUAUGGAGCAAGGUUAAACAGUAGUGCAAUUGUACAUGUGAAAAUUGGGGGAACCAGGACACUGAACAGUAAUGAUGUAGAUUCCAAACACAAAUAAAGGUUGAAAGACUACCAGGGCUAAUGUGUCCAAAGAAAGUGUACAGCAGCAGACAGAUCCCCUACACUUACUGGACCCUGUACUCUUGAGGAGAGCCUUCUGCGUUUCGCCAGCAGACACCAGGAAUUUAAAGUAGAGGUUUGAGCACUCGGCACUAAGGGUUGAUGAAGAGAGGUCCAUUAGAAACCGGAAUGAAAAUAACCUUCAUCUCUGACCUCCCAAGGAUCACUGAAGAUCAAAACAGCUUUCAGUCUUCACUACAGAGUAAGAUUAAAAUGCAAAACAGCACUGUUUAUGGCUUUAGUUUAAAUAUUAAGGAGGGCAGCAAACCAAGUCUCGAAUGUCAUCAUUUUGGGAGUGACAUCUGAUAAAAAUAAUAAUCUCCUAGGAAAAUAUCCAAUUAGCCCAAAGAAUUCCCCUAGCAAACCGAACAAUGGCACUGACUUGCCCGAAGGCUGAUUUGCAAAUGAUUACACAUCCUUUACCACCCCUGAUCCAGCCCCAGCUCUUUCCCAAUCAUUCUUUGUUCUAUGAGAUUAGUAUGGAAACAAGAAGACUAAUUUGAAGUCACACCUUAUCUAAGUUGUCUUUUAUUUGAAAUAUAUAUAUAUUAUAUGAAAGUUAUAAUGAUAUUUUCAUGUAUGUGACUAAUAAUGUACUUUUUUUCACAUUCACCUUCUGUUACUCCGGUUUGCUGUCUCCCUGUCACUGACUCCCUUUCUCUUCCCACACAGCCGCUCUUCUGUUAAUAACGUGUGUUACAUGUGUUUCUGAGUCUGACUUACUUUAUGCAAAAUGGGGACCUCUAUUUCCUCCAGACAACAUAAUGUUGUCCUUCAUUAGAGAUGAACAAUAUGUCACUAUGUGUAUCUACUACAUUUUCUUUACUCUUUUAUCUGUUGAUGGACACUUGAACUGAAUGCAGAAUUUGGCUUCACAGUGAGCAGUAAGCAUGACUGUCCAAGUAUCAUUAUUGUAUAUCUUCAGGUAUUCCCAGGAGUUGUAUAAAGCACCAUGAAGUACUUUCAUGUUUCGCGUUUUUAAAUUUCAUUUAUUUUAUGUGUAUUUCUGGGUGUUUUCCCUGUGUUUGUGUCUAUAUACCCUGUGCAAAGGAGCCAUCAAGGGCAUUGGAUUCCUUGGGACUACUGUUACAGAUGGUUGGGAGUCACCAGGUGGGUGUUGGGACUCGAACUUGGGUUCACUGAAAGAGCAGCCAGUCCUGCUAACUGCUAAGCCAUCACUGCAGCCUAUGCAUAGUAUUUUUGAGGCAAAUCUCUAAGAUAUACUCAGUACUUUAGAUAUUUCUUUCUGAUUAGGAUGGAAAGGCUUUUCACCUUCCAAGAUCUUCCUUAAUAGGUUUAUUAUUGUUAUAUGUGCUAACGUUUUCAGUAUAGAAAAC